UACGUAGUUAGCCGUGGCUUUCUCACAGAGUACCGUCACUUUCUUCUUCCUCUGCGACAGAAGUUUACAACCCGAAGGCCGUCAUCCUUCACGCGGCGUUGCUGCGUCAGGGUUUCCCCCAUUGCGCAAUAUUCCCCACUGCUGCCUCCCGUAGGAGUCUGGGCCGUGUCUCAGUCCCAAUGUGGCCGAUCAACCUCUCAGUUCGGCUACUGAUCGUCGACUAGGUGGGCCGUUACCCCGCCUACUAUCUAAUCAGACGCGAGUCCAUCUGUAAGCGAUAAAUCUUUCAAAGCUUCCCCAUGCGGAAAAACCUUCAAUAUGCGGUAUUAGCACAGAUUUCUCUGUGUUAUCCCCCGUCUUACAGGCAGGUUACUCACGCGUUACUCACCCGUCCGCCGCUCUCCACAAAAGCUUCACCCCGAAGGGAUCAGUCUCUUGUUUCCCGCUCGACUUGCAUGUGUUAGGCACGCCGCCAGCGUGUCCUGAGCCGAGAGUCAAACUC
This 502-nucleotide ribosomal RNA is filed under the name uncultured Oscillospiraceae bacterium. RNAcentral's name for it is "partial 16S ribosomal RNA". Lineage: Bacteria; Bacillati; Bacillota; Clostridia; Eubacteriales; Oscillospiraceae. The record is from RNAcentral.